Molecule: ribosomal RNA, 254 nt
Filed under: uncultured bacterium
Lineage: Bacteria
Description: partial 16S ribosomal RNA
Rfam family: Bacterial small subunit ribosomal RNA
Source: RNAcentral
UACGUAGGGUGCGAGCGUUGUCCGGAAUUAUUGGGCGUAAAGGGCGCGUAGGCGGCCCGCUAAGUCGAACGUGAAAUCCCCAGGCUUAACCUGGGAACUGCGUCCGAUACUGGCAGGCUUGAAUCCGGGAGAGGGAUGUGGAAUUCCAGGUGUAGCGGUGAAAUGCGUAGAUAUCUGGAGGAACACCGGUGGCGAAGGCGGCAUCCUGGACCAACACUGACGCUGAGUAAGCGAAAGCCAGGGGAGCAAACGGG